Molecule: ribosomal RNA, 445 nt
Filed under: uncultured bacterium
Lineage: Bacteria
Description: SSU rRNA
Rfam family: Bacterial small subunit ribosomal RNA
Source: RNAcentral
GGGACGAACGCUGGCGGCAGGCUUAACACAUGCAAGUCGAACGCGUGUAGCAAUACACGAGUGGCGCACGGGUGAGUAACGCGUGGAUAUCUGCCUUUUGGUUCGGAAUAACCCCGGGAAACUGGGGCUAAUACCGGAUGGUUCCUUCGGGAUAAAGAUUUAUCGCCAAAAGAUGAGUCCGCGUACGAUUAGCUAGUUGGUGAGGUAAUGGCUCACCAAGGCGACGAUCGUUAGCUGGUCUGAGAGGACGAUCAGCCACACUGGGACUGAGACACGGCCCAGACUCCUACGGGAGGCAGCAGUGGGGAAUAUUGGACAAUGGGGGCAACCCUGAUCCAGCCAUGCCGCGUGAGUGAUGAAGGCCUUCGGGUUGUAAAGCUCUUUUGGCGGGACGAUGAUGACGGUACCCGCAGAAUAGCCCGGCUAACUUCGUGCCAGCAGCCGC